This 459-nucleotide ribosomal RNA is filed under the name uncultured bacterium. RNAcentral's name for it is "partial 16S ribosomal RNA". It matches the Rfam family "Bacterial small subunit ribosomal RNA", at positions 338 to 795 of the family's 1533-position model. The record is from RNAcentral.
CCUACGGGAGGCUGCAGUGAGGAAUAUUGGUCAAUGGGCGGGAGCCUGAACCAGCCAAGCCGCGUGAGGGAAGAAGGUACAGCGUAUCGUAAACCUCUUUUGUCAGGGGACAAAGGCGGGGACUAGUCCCCGGAUGAGGGUACCUGACGAAAAAGCAUCGGCUAACUCCGUGCCAGCAGCCGCGGUAAUACGGAGGAUGCGAGCGUUAUCCGGAUUUAUUGGGUUUAAAGGGUGCGUAGGCGGUCUGUUAAGUUAGCGGUAAAAUUGCGGGGCUGAACCCCGUCGGGCCGUUGAAACUGGCAGACUAGAGUUGGCGAGAAGUACGCGGAAUGCGCGGUGGAGCGGUGAAAUGCAUAGAUAUCGCGCAGAACUCCGAUUGCGAAGGCAGCGUACCGGCGCCAGACUGACGCUGAGGCACGAAAGCGUGGGGAUCGAACAGGAUUAGAUACCCCUGUAGUC